Molecule: non-coding RNA, 144 nt
Organism: Gossypium raimondii (Peruvian cotton)
Lineage: Eukaryota; Viridiplantae; Streptophyta; Magnoliopsida; Malvales; Malvaceae
Source: Rfam
UGUUAAAAUCUCAUCCAAUUCUAUUGUUAAAAACUGGCAUGAUUGACAGAAUUACCAGACAAUUACAUAUGAAGUUUCACGUAUAUCUCAUUCCGACACACAAGGACCAGUUUUUAACAAUAGAAAUGGAUGAAUUUUUUAACA